AACGAACGCUGGCGGCAUGCCUAGCACAUGCAAGUCGAACGAGACCUUCGGGUCUAGUGGCGCACGGGUGCGUAACGCGUGGGAACCUGCCCUUAGGUUCGGAAUAACUCCCCGAAAGGGGUGCUAAUACCGGAUAAUGUCUUCGGACCAAAGAUUUAUCGCCUUUGGAUGGGCCCGCGUUGGAUUAGCUAGUUGGUAGGGUAAAAGCCUACCAAGGCGACGAUCCAUAGCUGGUCUGAGAGGAUGAUCAGCCACACUGGGACUGAGACACGGCCCAGACUCCUACGGGAGGCAGCAGUGGGGAAUAUUGGACAAUGGGCGAAAGCCUGAUCCAGCAAUGCCGCGUGAGUGAUGAAGGCCUUAGGGUUGUAAAGCUCUUUUACCCGGGAUGAUAAUCACAGUACCGGGAGAAUAAGCUCCGGCUAACUCCGUG
This 433-nucleotide ribosomal RNA is filed under the name uncultured bacterium. RNAcentral's name for it is "partial 16S ribosomal RNA". It matches the Rfam family "Bacterial small subunit ribosomal RNA", at positions 29 to 507 of the family's 1533-position model. The record is from RNAcentral.